RNAcentral lists this ribosomal RNA (265 nucleotides) under uncultured Streptococcaceae bacterium. RNAcentral's name for it is "partial 16S ribosomal RNA". It matches the Rfam family "Bacterial small subunit ribosomal RNA", at positions 505 to 770 of the family's 1533-position model. The record is from RNAcentral. Lineage: Bacteria; Bacillati; Bacillota; Bacilli; Lactobacillales; Streptococcaceae.
GUGCCAGCAGCCGCGGUAAUACGUAGGUCCCGAGCGUUGUCCGGAUUUAUUGGGCGUAAAGCGAGCGCAGGCGGUUAGAUAAGUCUGAAGUUAAAGGCUGUGGCUUAACCAUAGUACGCUUUGGAAACUGUUUAACUUGAGUGCAAGAGGGGAGAGUGGAAUUCCAUGUGUAGCGGUGAAAUGCGUAGAUAUAUGGAGGAACACCGGUGGCGAAAGCGGCUCUCUGGCUUGUAACUGACGCUGAGGCUCGAAAGCGUGGGGAGCA